Apis florea (little honeybee) is the source of this 159-nucleotide long non-coding RNA. Lineage: Eukaryota; Metazoa; Arthropoda; Insecta; Hymenoptera; Apidae. The record is from RefSeq and is a predicted model, not a curated record.
UUUAUUUUAUUUUAUUUUUUUAUUGUCUAUAAAUAGCCUAAAUAAAAUACAUAUGUAUAUCUGUGGCUUUGCUGCUUCAUAGCGAUAUAAUACUACAAAACUUAACAAAACGCUUUUAAUCUCUUCAACAUUCGUCCCAUUUUAUAAAUCUUUUACAAU